GUUCAGAUAUGGCCUAUGAGCUGCCAUUCUGCAGCCUUUCUGACCCACAGCGUGGAGACCACAUGUGGGUCCAACAUCAAUGUGUGGGUCUGCCUGGUGUGACGUUUCCAUUAAGACUCUGAAGACAAGUCCAGACUUAACAAGGGACAUGAUGAUCACUUAGUGACAUCUUUCCUAGACAAAAGAAAGGAGAAUAAAGACGUUUAUGCCUAGGGAUGACACUCAUGGCCUUAUAACUUAUUGCUCAGAGUAAGAUAUUUUUGAGAAGAAAAGGAGGUGCCAUAGUGAUCCAUGGAUAGAGUCGCCAUAUUUGGGGACUGGAACGUAUGGCUACCACCCACACAGCUUUUCUUGAAAUCCUCCCAUGUCAGUGCUCACUGCCCAUCUCCAUUCAUUAGGGCGACUCCUGCGACUCACCCACUUCUAAGCCCACCUGCCUCCCCUGCUCAGUCCCCUGCUCCUCUUAGCUUCUUCCCUUUCUUGGCUGCUCUGGACUUCAAAUCACAGCACAAGUGUCACUCUUUUUCAUCUCCUCCCUUCCUUUCCAGGCUAAUCUGUCCCACCAGGUUCCACAGCAUGUCACACAUGUCCCUCCUAUGGCAUUUAUCACAGCAUCCCACUUGCAGGGGCCAUCUGCUACUCCCAAAGGACUUGGAGUGCCCCCUCAGUGUCCCCCACAAAGCAGGUGCUCAGUGGUCAUUCAUUGAAAUUUUAUUUUGAAUCUCACCUUCUUCUCUCUUUCUCUGACACUCUCUGCAGAAGAUGAUAAUGAAGAGUGGAAAUACCAAGCAGACAAUAAGAGGGAGGUAAUGUGGGAAUGGAGAAAAUCUAUAAGCUGCAUAAUUGAUUCUUGAGUAACUGACCAUUGACCUACGUAGUGGUUGUGAAAAAGUCAUUAAAAAC
RNAcentral lists this long non-coding RNA (903 nucleotides) under Marmota monax (woodchuck). The record is from RNAcentral. Lineage: Eukaryota; Metazoa; Chordata; Mammalia; Rodentia; Sciuridae.